UAUAGACUCAGAUACUUUCCGUUUUCACUGCAUAAAGAGUUGGGAGCCAAUACUAAAAGUUAGGCUGCAGUGUGUUUCAAGUAAUGAAGAGAAUGAAGACAAUUCAAAUGACUCCUUAACAAUACCACUGAAAUGUCUUGCUGUGGGACAGAAAGUGAAAGUAGGCCUUCCUGUAGAAAAGGAUACAACAUUGGAGUUGCAGCUCCAAG
This 209-nucleotide long non-coding RNA is filed under the name Pelusios castaneus (West African mud turtle). RNAcentral's name for it is "lncRNA (ENSPCEG00000019697.1)". The record is from RNAcentral. Lineage: Eukaryota; Metazoa; Chordata; Testudines; Pelomedusidae.